Long non-coding RNA from Lepidothrix coronata (blue-crowned manakin), 475 nucleotides. RefSeq lists it as uncharacterized. The transcript has 3 exons. NCBI's taxonomy places the organism in Eukaryota, Metazoa, Chordata, Aves, Passeriformes, Pipridae. The record is from RefSeq and is a predicted model, not a curated record.
GAGCGCGGAGCCGACGCGGGGUCAGCUGCCUGCGGGCGGAAAGGGGAAACGGCAAAGGAAAGGAAAGACCGCGGAGGCAACGGAGCCGCGUUUUUAGUUGCGGGGUGCAGGGGAGCCUGAAAACCAACCACACGCUUAUAGCCAGAGCAAUCACAAAGGAACAAGACCUUUAAGCCCGCGUCAAGCUCCAGGGAAAGCUUGUUUUCACCCUCUUGAUGAUCUGCCUCAAAUUCGGUGAUUCUCUGGGUUUCUCUCUCCAAGGCAAGCCCAGGGUUUUCAUGCAUUUGGCUAGAAAAAGGCACACUUUAAAGCCAGCCAGAAAUCCAGCUGUUAUCUCUCCAAGAAGGAUUUUGCCUGAAUACAGCCAGAAUUCUGUCAAAACAGGUUUUUAAAUCUCACAUAGUUAUGGAAAAGUUCUGAAGAGCUGCAGCUCUUCCUUAUUUGCAUAAAAGUGCAGGUCGCCCUGAUGUAGGAG